This 377-nucleotide ribosomal RNA is filed under the name uncultured organism. RNAcentral describes it as "partial 16S ribosomal RNA". It matches the Rfam family "Bacterial small subunit ribosomal RNA", at positions 527 to 896 of the family's 1533-position model. The record is from RNAcentral.
GUAGGUGGCAAGCGUUGUCCGGGAUUAUUGGGCGUAAAGCGCGCGCAGGCGGUUCUUUAAGUCUGAUGUGAAAGCCCACCGGCUCAACCGUGGAGGGUCAUUGGAAACUGGAGAACUUGAGUACAGAAGAGGAAAGCGGAAUUCCACGUGUAGCGGUGAAAUGCGUAGAGAUGUGGAGGAACACCAGUGGCGAAGGCGGCUUUCUGGUCUGUAACUGACGCUGAGGCGCGAAAGCGUGGGGAGCAAACAGGGAUUAGAUACCCUGGUAGUCCACGCCGUAAACGAUGAGUGCUAAGUGUUAGGGGGGGUUUCCGCCCCCCUUAGUGCUGCAGCUAACGCAUUAAGCACUCCGCCUGGGGAGUACGGCCGCAAGGCUG